GGUCUCGAUAGAGGUGCGGUCUUUAUGAUUAAUUACGCUUGCCAUGGCUAAUGGAAUGAAGCGUCAUGAAAGGAAAGUUCGCCGAAGGAUUUUGAAUUGCCACCAACUUCCUGGGUUUAUUGCAAACAGCAAUAAAACUGUCAUCAUUCAUUUGAUGGAGUGCUAUCUAAGAA
Molecule: non-coding RNA, 173 nt
Filed under: Acetobacterium bakii
Lineage: Bacteria; Bacillati; Bacillota; Clostridia; Eubacteriales; Eubacteriaceae
Description: Lysine sequence
Rfam family: Lysine riboswitch aptamer
About the family: Riboswitches are metabolite binding domains within certain messenger RNAs that serve as precision sensors for their corresponding targets. Allosteric rearrangement of mRNA structure is mediated by ligand binding, and this results in modulation of gene expression.
Source: Rfam by way of RNAcentral